RNAcentral lists this long non-coding RNA (1707 nucleotides) under Marmota monax (woodchuck). Lineage: Eukaryota; Metazoa; Chordata; Mammalia; Rodentia; Sciuridae. The record is from RNAcentral.
GGCGGAGGGGGGUUGAUAGUGGUGGACCUUUGCAAUUUCUGCAUCACUUUUUCAGUUCCCUGGGACAGUUUGUGCUCUAAGAAUAAUGAGGGAUUUUUAAUACUUUUUGCUUCCUAGAAACAAUCUCCUUUAUAAGGCACAAUGGAUAUUUUUUACUCCCCACCCCUCCUUUGGAACAAUCUUAUCCUAAAAAGUGGGAGCUAGCCUAUGCAUUUGCCCUUAGGUUUCUAGCAGCUCUGGAAGAAAUAGUUAAAGGACUUUGGAGUUGAUGGUGACACCUGGGAGGGCAAGACGAAGACUGUCAAACAGGGAGUGGAGGUCCACAUUGUUACAGCACAGAACCGAGAGCACUACACUAACCACUGAACUCCUGCCCACAAGUGCCAUUGCUCCAAAGAGAAGUGGCCCCUUCCUUGUGAUGCAUAGACCUGCAAGUCCCAGCAGAGCUUUUACACCAGCCUGGCAGAGUGGCGGGCCGUGGGGUCUUGGAGACCCCUGGGCCCAGGAAGAUGUCUGGUUGGUCCAUCUUUAAGCUAAGUAGGGAAAAGGGCUAAACCCUUCUGUGAUUCUGCUUCUCCUGAUUGUGACCAGAAGCAUGAGGGAUGUGAAACAUUCCCUACAAGGGACACUUGGCUGAAUCAGUUACUGACCCAUUGGCUUGGUGAGUGAAAACCCCUGAUGGGAAGAACUCACUCAUAGUGGCUGCACUGGAAAAACUAUAUACCUCAAAUGCCUUUUAAAUCCUGUGAUGCACCCUUCUUUUAGGGCUUCCCCUAUGGAGUCAUUCCUGAUUUAGUCAUUUGCAGCAUAAUUAAUUAUUCAUUGCCAAAGGCCAUCAACAUUAAUAUCAGCUUUAAGAUGGCUACAGUGCUCUUGAAAAUUGUGAACCAUUGAUGCCGUUAAAUCAAGUGGGAAGCCCAGAGGUUGCAAGAAAAUAGAGGCCACUUGACUUAUAAAAUGUUAAGGGAACAAUAUAUAAAUCUAAAAUUAAAAGUCUUUGGUUAACCUAACAUGCCUGAGGUCCUGGGUUUGGUUCCCAGCACACGAGAAAAACAGAGAAACAAACAAACAACUUUGGUUAAUGUAGAAGAGACCUUAAUAAAAUUACUCAUUAAAUCUAUUAGCUAGGUAUUUAAAUAUUUAUAUUAGUGAGGGAUCCAAACUUUAAUUAUUGCCAUGACCCAUUUUUAUUUCAAAAUUUACAUAAUGAAGCAAGAGUUCUUCAUCAGAGGGCCUGUUUCCAGAAUUGGCAUCAGUAAAGGCAAACAUUAAGAUUACACUGGAUAGAACCCCCAGAGGAUAAAGAUGUUCACUGGGUGCACUUACUCUCAUUGACUGAUGGUGACUUUCUGGAGCCCUAGGUACACAAGGGUCAUUGAAGCAAGUCCAUGGUCAGUGGAAAAGGGUGUGUGUGAUUGAGAAGCUUGGGAGAAGGCAACCCUGGCAGCACCAGUGUUGCCCUAUUUGCCAACCUACCAAAUUUCUGCAGUUACUAUUAGCCUCAAAGAUAUAUUAAGUAAUGUUCAAUCUCAAUUAGAUGUAAGACAUAUGCUUCAUGACAAGAAAAUGGACAAAGUCAAGAUCAGAGACUACUUCCUUCAUUGACUGGCCUACAAUGCCAGGGCCUUGGAAUUGCUUUCUGAAAGGCUUAACAGUGACAAAAUAGAAUGUUGUUUAAAAAAUAAAUAAAAUGAGCAGUUAACCAGA